CUCACAUAUAAAUACCGUUCCCUUGCGCUUCUUAGUUACUUAGUUCCCUCCUCUUUCUUUCUUCACGCCAAAUAACGAAAAACCAAAAAGCCCAAAUAAAAUUUCCAUUGUUAGAUCGAAUACACAAACCCUACUUGUAAAUCUUUAAUUUUCUUAUUUUUUUCCUUAGUUUUUUUGCUUGAGAGAAUAGUAAUGGCGGUUCCUGCUACAGCCAACGCAACUUCAGUGCUUACUACGGCCGCUGCACCUGUUGCUUCUGUGACUGGUGCUGGGCCGUUUGUGAAUGCGUCUCUCUACGUGGGAGAUCUGGAGCAUAAUGUGAAUGAGGGCCAAUUGUAUGACCUGUUUAGCCAGAUUGCUCAGGUCGUGUCUGUUAGAGUUUGUAGGGAUCAGGCAAAGCGAUCCUCACUUGGUUAUGCUUAUGUCAAUUUCAGUAAUCCACAAGACGCUGCAAAUGCGAUGGAGGCUCUGAAUUCUACUCCUUUGAAUGGGAAACCUAUCAGGAUUAUGUUUUCUCAUCGAGAUCCUAGUAUUAGAAAAAGUGGAUAUGCCAAUGUUUUCAUAAAAAAUCUGGACACGUCACUUGAUAACAAGGCGUUGCAUGACAUUUUUGCUGCCUUUGGGACUGUCCUUUCUUGCAAGGUAGCUGUUGAUAAUAACGGUCAAUCAAAAGGAUAUGGUUUUGUACAGUUUGAAAAUGAGGAUGCUGCACAGAGUGCAAUCAAACGGUUGAAUGGUAUGUUGAUAAAUGAUAAACAAGUUUAUGUUGGACUUUUUGUUCGACAUCAAGAAAGGAUUCGGGCUAAUGGAUCACCAAAGUUUACUAAUGUUUAUGUUAAAAACUUGUCUGACACAACAACUGAUGAGGACCUUAAGAAAAUUUUUGGCGCUUAUGGUACCAUCACCAGUGCAGUUGUUAUGAAGGACCAAAAUGGGAAAUCCAGGUGUUUUGGUUUUGUGAACUUUCAGAACCCAGAUGCUGCUGCUGCAGCUGCUGAGAAGCUGAAUGGGGCUACCAUCAAUAAUGACAAAGCUUGGUAUGUUGGUAGGGCCCAAAGUAAAGCAGAAAGGGCAUCAGAGUUGAAAACCAAGUUUGAGCAGGAAAGAAUUAGUAGAUAUGAAAAACCAAGAGGUGCAAAUUUAUAUCUGAAAAAUCUUGAUGAGAACAUUAAAGAUGAAAAGCUGAAGGAAUUAUUUUCUGAGUUUGGGUCUAUAACAUCAUGCAAGGUCAUGCUUGAUCACCAAGGGCUGAGUAAGGGCUCUGGUUUUGUUGCCUUUUCUACACCUGAGGAAGCUUCAAGAGCUUUGAUUGAAAUGAAUGGAAAGAUGAUUGGAAGGAAACCCCUUUAUGUUGCUGUUGCCCAACGCAAAGAAGAAAGGCAGGCUCAACUACAGGCACAUUUUGCUCAAAUUCGAGCUACUGGAGGAAUGUCACCUUUGCCUUCUGGAAUUCCUGGAUACCAUCCAGGGGCACCACAGCAGCUUUACUUUGGUCAAGGGACUCCUGGUAUGAUACCUGCUCAGCAUGCAGGAUAUGGCUUCCAGCAACUCAUGCCUGGAGUGCGCCCUGGUUUUGCUUCAAACUUUAUCAUGCCAUAUCACCUUCAAAGACAGGGACAACCUGGGCCGCGGAUGGGAACACGUCGUGGUGGGAACCCCCACCAGAUGCGGCGGCAGCAGCUAUUGCACCGUAACAACAAUCCAGGCUACAUGGGAAACAAUCCAGGCUACAUGGGAAAUGCAAGAAAUGGCAUAGACUCAUUUUCUGUUCCACAAGGCCUAGUGGGUCCUAUGAUGCCAUUGCCCUUUGGGGUCUCCGGAAAUCCUAUUGAUAUUCAGCAACCGGUUAUCAUCUCAACUCUUGCAUCUGCUUUGGCUUCUGCUUCCCCAUGGACGCGUAAUGAGAUGCUUGGUGGCCAUCUUUAUCCGCUUGUGGAGCGUCUUCAGCCAGAUCAUGUGGCGAAGGUGACUGGGAUGUUAUUGGAGAUGGAUCAAACAGAGGUGCUACAUCUCAUCGAGUCCCCAGAUGCUCUGAAAAAGAAGGUGGCUGAAGCAAUGCAAGUUCUCCGAGAAGCUGCUGAAUGAAGUCCUCCGAGAAGCUGCUGAAUGAAGUCCUCCAUAGCCGCCUUAUUUAUGGUUAUUAGUAUUUAUUUUGUUGGUGUUUAUGAGCGCUCACAUUUUAGUAGGGCUUGAUGAGCAGUAAUUUAUUUUGGUGGUGUCAUCUUAAAUUAGUUUUCUAAGAUCAAUUUUGUUUAUUAAGAUUGAAAAUAUUUGUUUUUAGGCUUUUUG
This 2289-nucleotide unclassified non-coding RNA is filed under the name Hevea brasiliensis (rubber tree). The record is from RNAcentral. Lineage: Eukaryota; Viridiplantae; Streptophyta; Magnoliopsida; Malpighiales; Euphorbiaceae.